This 152-nucleotide unclassified non-coding RNA is filed under the name Polistes canadensis. RNAcentral's name for it is "pancreas transcription factor 1 subunit alpha-like, transcript variant X1". The record is from RNAcentral. Lineage: Eukaryota; Metazoa; Arthropoda; Insecta; Hymenoptera; Vespidae.
GCAGUUUGUACGAUCACCGAGUCGCGGAGAAAUUGUUGGGAUGGUAUAUCUUCGACAGCUCAGAAAAAUCAGUCAUCUCCAACGACACAGCCAAGAAGAGGAAGACGACGUUCUAGCGACGUACCACCAUCGCCGAGUGUUUUAAAACGACG